GGAUCAAUGACGCUUACAAAAAUGAUCUCCUUGGAAUAUGAACAAGAUGAGUGACCAAGACACUUCUGUGAGCUGUGGUCC
This 81-nucleotide small nucleolar RNA is filed under the name Castor canadensis (American beaver). RNAcentral describes it as "Small nucleolar RNA SNORD116 (ENSCCNG00000012808.1)". It matches the Rfam family "Small nucleolar RNA SNORD116". Rfam says of the family: HBII-85 is a member of the C/D class of snoRNAs, which contain the C (UGAUGA) and D (CUGA) box motifs. HBII-85 is encoded in a tandemly repeated array with another C/D snoRNA, HBII-52, in the Prader-Willi syndrome (PWS) region of chromosome 15. Unlike most other snoRNAs, HBII-85 is expressed prevalently in the brain (but is absent in PWS patients) and lacks any significant complementarity with ribosomal RNA. Lineage: Eukaryota; Metazoa; Chordata; Mammalia; Rodentia; Castoridae. The record is from Rfam by way of RNAcentral.